This 459-nucleotide ribosomal RNA is filed under the name uncultured bacterium. RNAcentral's name for it is "partial 16S ribosomal RNA". It matches the Rfam family "Bacterial small subunit ribosomal RNA", at positions 338 to 795 of the family's 1533-position model. The record is from RNAcentral.
CCUACGGGAGGCAGCAGUGAGGAAUAUUGGUCAAUGGGAGAGAUCCUGAACCAGCCAAGCCGCGUGAGGGAAGACGGCCCUAUGGGUUGUAAACCUCUUUUGUCGGAGAACAAAACCCGGGACGAGUCCCGGACUGCGUGUAUCCGAAGAAAAAGCAUCGGCUAACUCCGUGCCAGCAGCCGCGGUAAUAGGGAGGGUGCGAGCGUUACCCGGAUUUGUUGGGUUAAAAGGGUGCGUGGGGGGUCGGCUAAGUCAGCGGGAAAAUUGCGGGGCCAAACCCCGGCGAGCCGUUGAAUCUGGCAGACUGGAGUGGGCGAGAAGUACGCGGAAUGCGCGGUGUAGCGGUGAAAUGCAUAGAUAUCGCGCAGAACUCCGAUUGCGAAGGCAGCGUACCGGCGCCAGACUGACGCUGAGGCACGAAAGCGUGGGGAUCGAACAGGAUUAGAUACCCCAGUAGUC